AUUGAACGCUGGCGGCAGGCCUAACACAUGCAAGUCGAGCGAGCGGCGGACGGGUGAGUAAUGUAUGGGGACUGCCCGAUAGAGGGGGAUCACUACUGGAAACGGUGGCUAAUACCGCAUACUAUCGGAUAACCCAUAUGGGAUUAGCUAGUAGGUGGGGUAAAGGCUCAACUAGGCGACGAGCGCUAGCUGGUCUGAGAGGAUGAUCAGGCAAAAUGGGAAUGAGACACGGCCCAGACUCCGACGGAGGGAGCAGUGGGGAAGAUUGCACAAUGGGCGCAAGCCUGAUGGAGGCAUGCCGGGGGUAUGAAGAAGGGCGUAGGGUUGGAAAGGAAUUUCAGCGGGGAGGCGUUACCCGCAGAAGAAGCAACGGCUAACUCCGUGCCAGCCGCCGCGGUAAUUC
RNAcentral lists this ribosomal RNA (403 nucleotides) under uncultured bacterium. RNAcentral describes it as "partial 16S ribosomal RNA". It matches the Rfam family "Bacterial small subunit ribosomal RNA", at positions 29 to 526 of the family's 1533-position model. The record is from RNAcentral.